GAUAUGUUUUUUCAUUGAAGCUGCUGAUAUUUUUUUUGUUGAUACCAAUCUUUAAAAUUGAGUAUAUUUGUGCUGAAAAAUAUUGUGUUGUCUGAGAGGAAAAGCAACUAAUAGCAUUUAAACCAUCACAGGAAAUUAAAACUCCACACUGAAACAGAACCAAAUGGAACUCUUAUAGUGGACAGAGCCCUUUUACCAGCUUUGACUCCACCAGUAUUUUAAAUUAAUUCAGUGGAGGGGCAUAACACGUGCUGAAUUUGUUAAAUACGCGUUAUCAUUGUUUUAAAUAAAAUGUGUUGUUUUAUAAAGAGAUUUAAUUCUGAAUCCCACUGUUGUAGACGCACGAAUAGCUGUAACUUCCACGAUAAUUACUCAGUUGCAAUGGCUUCAGUGCAUUUGUACUACAGCAUAGCACGUGUAACAUAACAACACAACUCUGCUCCAGCCUAUCCUGUCAGAACAACACUGGUGUGACUCCUGCGGCAUCUUCACAUUUAAAGUAUGUAACUGCUGUGAUCCACAAUGAUUGACUUUCUUCAUAUAGCAGGUGCGUCACAGGAAAUGCUAUUAGUUUGUGAAGGAAAAGCAAAUAGAGAGCUGUAAAAUGAAACUCUUUUUCCCUCACUAAUGUAAUCAUGCGCCUUAUUUGCACAGGAUUUUAAUAUGAAACACUGCCGAACAGACGCUUUUCUUUUCUUUUCUUUUCGUUUCUUUUCGUUUCGACAACAAAUCUUUUGCUGGGACUGAGCAAAAAAAGGCACACCUACAAAUUAAUCUGCUACUCCAGCACCACAGACAGUGUGAUUGGUGUCUCAAAGCAUCUCACUAUAUUAAAAAGCCAUGGUACAGGCUGAAGACCCGCACAAACUUCUAGUCGAAUAAAGGCUCAAGGAGUUAGGCAGACGAGACUAACAUAUUCAACUAAACAACCUCGCUGCUCCCGCCUUCUCUCCACUACUUGGAGAUGCAAAGCGAGGGGGUGGUAGGUUAACAAGGGAAAUGCAUUUUGGUCAUUUUGCUAACAAGGCAGAUGACAUCUGCCCCACAUCCACUCCUACUGCCUAUAACUCUAACUUCUAAUGGUGAAUUAAAAACAAUAAAAGGAUAAGACUUGCUGAAGCAGAGAUUUUUUUUUUUUUUUCCAUUUCUAAGCUUGUUGUCUUCGGACUCAACCAACGCUGACUCGAGUGACAUCACUUCUGACAUCAGUCUUGACACUGCUGAACAUUUUUUAUACAUGCAGAUCUCUGCAACAAGUGGAAACACACUUUGAUGUGUAGAAUUGGUUCUACACAUUGAUGGUUCCCUCUCCUUGUAAGUGCAACCAAUGUUUCUGAUUACUCAACACUGAUGAACAGUAAAUGUGUCAAAUUGCAUUAUAAAUUUUUAUUUAUUAGAGGAGAGACUGAUUUCCUCGGAUUGGAUGGUCAGUGGGCAACAUGGCAACAUGCUGUUUGGCUAGUCAGUUCAGGUGCAGGGUCAAGAUGUGUGCUUGUAACUCGUAGAUUGCAGCUUUUGACUUUGAAGAUCUGAUAAUGCUGCUGGUGAUCGGCUGUAAUGUUACACAUGAUUGCAGCAUGCAGUAAAAAUACAUACAUGGUUACCAUAGAUGUUCUGUGGUUACACCCACAGACGGGGUUCAUGUGUAUAUGUGUUGUGAACUGUAGUUGUGUGUCGUUGAGCCAGUUAAAAAAUGCCACCGGGGUCAAAAGUGCAGCUCCAUUUUAGCAAGAUUGAUGCCAAUAAUGCGCGAUGCAAUAUGUGCAAAAAAGUCAUCAUUGCUAAGGCCAGCAACACAACUCAUUUGAUGAGGCACCUAACCGUGCACAGAAUCAAUUUAAGAGCAGAAAGUUGCUCCGUGUUUGACUGCAAGAAGAGCGGACAGAAGCCAUCCUCCACUCAGCAUUUAAGUUCACCUGUGGAUGUUACAGAGCCCGAGCUGCCUGACUCAAUAUCUCCAGCACCGGUCUCCGGCGUGUAAUGCUAACUUAAGAUAUUAGUGUGUAGCUUUAUUAUAUGCCUAUGUAACUAGCUAAAUCAAAAGCUAACUAGUGAUUGACAGCAACAGAUAAGCUUAGCUUGUAAAGAUGUGCUCAUCAACUAGGUCGGCUGGUUAAACAACUCACCUAACGUUCACUGUUAUGUUUAUCUUCUCCUCAGAGUAGACACUAUCAGCCAGGAGCGAGCUUGUCUGCAAAGCAGACAUGUUCGUCUUUCUGAAGAAAAACUCCUAAAUGAAAAGGCCCUCAGUAUGUAGCGGGUUAAGUGAACAACGUGGACUGAGGACAGUGGACAGCCCCAGAACGGUGACCUCCACUCUACAAACGCUCCAUAAACUCAGAGAUGACAUGUCCUACAGCCCGCAGCCUCAAGCAGAUGAGGCACCGGCAGGCAGAUUCAGAGUCCGAUCGAGAGCAAAGGCAGCUAGCUAACACAUCAAGCCCUGGAAGAGCUCUUGUACUCCAGUCAACAGCACAUGCUGCGUUCAACCCACAGGAGCUGAGAAACCGCCUGCUGAGCCGGGGCCCUCCGGAUACGGACAGGAUGUGUGUGUACUUUUUUACAACACCGAAUGUAGAAAGGCUACUGUACUCGCUGUACAGGAGGUUCCUAUCCUAUCAUUGUGAUCAAUGUUAAAGCAGACUACCUCCCCCGACUCACUCCUUACGCCAUCAUUCAUUAUUCACCGUCCUUGCACAUGAGCUGCUGAA
Molecule: long non-coding RNA, 2711 nt
Organism: Acanthopagrus latus (yellowfin seabream)
Lineage: Eukaryota; Metazoa; Chordata; Actinopteri; Spariformes; Sparidae
Exons: 3
Source: RefSeq, a predicted model, not a curated record